UCCCAUGCUUUUCCACAGCUUUCUUGAACUUUUUCGAUCUGAAUACCGAUCCCUCUGUCCAUAUGUAUGGAUCAUUGUGAAGAAGAUGGAAGUUCAAGAAAGCUGUGGGACAACAUGGAAA
RNAcentral lists this microRNA precursor (121 nucleotides) under Olea europaea subsp. europaea. RNAcentral describes it as "MIR396 microRNA precursor family". It matches the Rfam family "MIR396 microRNA precursor family". Lineage: Eukaryota; Viridiplantae; Streptophyta; Magnoliopsida; Lamiales; Oleaceae. The record is from Rfam by way of RNAcentral.